AGAAUUUCAUGAGCGACUUCUUUCGGUAAUCCGAGGAGAGGUCUAUUCGUGUAUUUUUUAACAAAAAGAGCUCUCAAAAUGGUAGCCCCGUGGAGACAAGUUGGAAUGACUUACAUCCAGUACUCCUCAAUCGCUGCAAGGCUUGUUAGGAGAGCACUGCGACCAGAACUGAGGGUAGAAGCUCUAAAGACAGAGGAAUCAGGAGCGAAAUUCACAAAGUGGGAAGGCGGUAAACCAGCUGCCAAGGAAUCUGCUGCAUGAUGUCCGCUCCUUAAAUUCUUCCCUUCUUAUAUCAUCAAGCUGAAGAAAUAUCAACAACCUCACACGCAAAUUCCAGACUACCUAGUAAAACAACAUAACCAUUGUCUACUGGUCUGCUAAGAAAGACACUG
Molecule: long non-coding RNA, 392 nt
Organism: Lytechinus variegatus (green sea urchin)
Lineage: Eukaryota; Metazoa; Echinodermata; Echinoidea; Temnopleuroida; Toxopneustidae
Exons: 3
Source: RefSeq, a predicted model, not a curated record